This 72-nucleotide transfer RNA is filed under the name Eggerthella sp. CAG:298. It matches the Rfam family "tRNA". Rfam says of the family: Transfer RNA (tRNA) molecules are approximately 80 nucleotides in length. The record is from Rfam by way of RNAcentral. Lineage: Bacteria; Bacillati; Actinomycetota; Coriobacteriia; Eggerthellales; Eggerthellaceae.
GGGCGAUUAGCUCAGCGGGAGAGCAUCACCUCGACACGGUGGGGGCCACUGGUUCGAUCCCAGUAUCGCCCA